Heterocephalus glaber (naked mole-rat) is the source of this 638-nucleotide long non-coding RNA. RefSeq lists it as uncharacterized. Lineage: Eukaryota; Metazoa; Chordata; Mammalia; Rodentia; Bathyergidae. The record is from RefSeq and is a predicted model, not a curated record.
GAUGGCCAAUGUGUGGGGGAAAUGAUGGAAGGUUGGCUGAGCAAGAUUUCAGAGAUCAUAGUCAAAGUGUUUCUGAAAGCUUCUCAGCUGCCAUUCUCUGUUGCUCAGCCAGAAGUUGCUGAAGUUCCUCUGUAGACAAUUCCUCCAAGUGUUCCUUCACCAGUUCCUCAACAUCACCACUGUCUAUCUGCAAGCCUAUGGAUGCUACUAUAGUGAAAAUGUCAUCAACCACUGGAUCAAAUGAAGGCUCAGGCUCCUCUACACAGCCUUCAGUCACUCUCCUAUAUAGUUUUAGGCCACACUUUCUUCCAGGCAGAUCUAAGUGUCCUUAGAGGGACACUGGCCCAGGAUUUCUCAAUUCACCCCAAACAGGAUAUACCAGUAUUUCAGUUGUAACUCAGGACUUUGGUCAUAAAUUAAAACUAAAAUUCUGGUCAGAACCCAAGUUGUUUGGCUGGCUGUAACUUGAGGGUCCACUGUUAAGGGAUAGAAAGGGCUGUGGUUGGCCCUUGUGCCUUUGCUACUUUUUGCCUGCCAUUAACUGUUUCCCCUUUGUGAUACCACCCUGCCUUGGAGCCAGCUGAUUGUAGACUGAAACCUCUACAAACUGUGAGCUAAAUAAACCUUUCCUUCCUUAA